Molecule: ribosomal RNA, 515 nt
Filed under: uncultured bacterium
Lineage: Bacteria
Description: partial 16S ribosomal RNA
Rfam family: Bacterial small subunit ribosomal RNA
Source: RNAcentral
GAUGAACGCUGGCGGCGUGCCUAAUACAUGCAAGUCGAGCGAAUGGAUUAAGAGCUUGCUCUUAUGAAGUUAGCGGCGGACGGGUGAGUAACACGUGGGUAACCUGCUCAUAAGACUGGGAUAACUCCGGGAAACCGGGGCUAAUACCGGAUAACAUUUUGAACCGCAUGGUUCGAAAUUGAAAGGCGGCUUCGGCUGUCACUUAUGGAUGGACCCGGGUCGCAUUAGCUAGUUGGUGAGGUAACGGCUCACCAAGGCAACGAUGCGUAGCCGACCUGAGAGGGUGAUCGGCCAAACUGGGACUGAGACACGGCCCAGACUCCUACGGGAGGCAGCAGUAGGGAAUCUUCCGCAAUGGACGAAAGUCUGACGGAGCAACGCCGCGUGAGUGAUGAAGGCUUUCGGGUCGUAAAACUCUGUUGUUAGGGAAGAACAAGUGCUAGUUGAAUAAGCUGGCACCUUGACGGUACCUAACCAGAAAGCCACGGCUAACUACGUGCCAGCAGCCGCGGUAA